RNAcentral lists this ribosomal RNA (406 nucleotides) under uncultured bacterium. RNAcentral's name for it is "partial 16S ribosomal RNA". It matches the Rfam family "Bacterial small subunit ribosomal RNA", at positions 30 to 526 of the family's 1533-position model. The record is from RNAcentral.
AUUGAACGCUGGCGGCAGGCCUAACACAUGCAAGUCGAACGAGUGGCGGACGGGUGAGUAAUGUCUGGGAAACUGCCUGAUGGAGGGGGAUAACUACUGGAAACGGUAGCUAAUACCGCAUACCAUCGGAUGUGCCCAGAUGGGAUUAGCUAGUAGGUGGGGUAACGGCUCACCUAGGCGACGAGCCCUAGCUGGUCUGAGAGGAUGACCACCCACACAGGAACAGGGACACGGUCCAGACGCCUACGCGAGUAAGCAGUGGGGAAUAUUGCACAGUGUGCUCAAACCUGAUGCAGCCAUGCGGCGUGUAUGAAGAAGGCCUUCGGGUUGUAGAGUACUUUCAGCGGGGAGGCGUUACCCGCAGAAGAAGCACCGGCUAACUCCGUGCCAGCAGCCGCGGUAAUUC